UUGUCGAACUUCGUUGGUUUGUUUACACUCUGCGGUCUAUCUUGUAGCCUUGUAAUUAGAAGCAACUUUGUUUUGGUUUCGGUUUUUUCCUGUUUCUUGCUUUUUUGGUGCAAAAUCAGUUGUAAGACCCUCAACAUGAUGUUCGUUUGGGAUUGGGAUUGUAACUAUCCUUCCAGUGACGACGAUUUUGAAGAAAAUUUGCUUCAGAUGCUCAGCGAUUCCGAUUAUUCUGUUUCCAGUGAUGACGAAUUUGAAGAAACGCCAGUUCAGAUGUCCAGUGGGUCGGGUUAUAUUCCUUCCAGUCAUAAUCAGUCUGAAGCAACAUUAGUUCAGAGGACAGAGAGAGAGAAGGAAGACGAUGAUUUCAGUCAGUCUAAAGGAACAUUAGCUCAGAAUAGUAAGAGACAGAAGGAAGAAGAUUUUAUGGUUCAGUCUGAAGCAACGUCAGUUCAGAGGAGUAAAAGACAGAAGAAAGAUGAUUAUUUCGAUCUCGUGGUGCCGCAGUAUAGUGAUGCCGUGUUUUUGGAACAUUUCCGUGUGCGACGCCACAUUGCAGAGUACAUUGCUGAGAAGUACAGAAAUUCUGCUUAUUACAACCAUCAAGCGGGUGGGAAUGGAAAACUGAUCCCCUUACAACAGAUCCUAAUUUUUUUGUGGUUUGCUGGACAUGAAACAGACACAUUCAGAAAUGUGUCAGAGAGGUUCAGCAUCUCUGCUAGUACUCUGUGCAACAUUGUGAAAAGGGUGUCACACUUCAUUAGCAAUGAAUACGUUGGUGUAAUAAAGUGGCCGUCUGCUGCAGAAAAAGCAGGCAUAGAAUCGUACUUCCGGUCAAACGGUUUGCCAGGUGUGGUUGGCGCCAUCGGCGGUACUCAUAUUAAGAUUGAUAAACCUCAAAGCGACCCCUAUUCAUAUUUGAACACGAAACGUUAUUAUUCUAUUCAAUUGCAGAUCGUUUCCGACCACGAGCUGCGUAUAAGGGACAUAUUCGUGGGUUACCCGGGGUCAGUCGAUGACGAGACAGUGUUCAGAAAAUCACCAUUGUUUAAAAAGCUCGGAGACAUUUGCAGCGAGUUAUGUAUUGUGGGAGACGUCGCGUACCCAUGCAUUAAGCAUUUGCUGACUCCUUACAGAAACACCGGGCACUUAACCAGACAGCAAAAUGAUUUCAAUCUUGUGCUUUCGAGAAGUACGAGUGUUGUUGAACAUUGUUUCCGUGUAUUAAAGGAGCGUUUUAAGCAAUUGUUUUAUAUUAAGUUAAGGAACAUUGAAGACAUAGUUCAUUUUAUUCGAGCUUGCUGCAUACUGCACAAUAUCGCCUUGAAAGACGCCUUUGUAUUUGAAGGAAACGAAGGUAUUCUGGAACAACCCCCUCACGAACCAAGGACCUUGCUGUUGGUGGGGUGGUUUGCUUGUCUCAGCAAUACCAAUAGCCGUGCCAUAGGGUCUCUGUUGACAGGCCACAUGAAAGUGUGGUCCAUGAAGAGGGGCAGCAGCCUUUUCAGUAGUUGCACAAGUAACAGUCUGGAUGUGUGACGGAUCUGGCCUUGUAACAUCAGCCAGAACGCCUGGUAUUGUGAAUGGCUGAAAGCAGGAGAAAACUACAGCCAUAAUUUUUUCCGAGGCAUGCAGCUACUGUAUGGUUAAAUGACGACGGAAUCUUCUUGGGUAAAAUAGUCCCCCAUUUGGAUCUCCGGGUGGGGCUACUCACAAGGAUGUCGUCAUCAGGAGAAAGAAAGCUGACAUUCUAUGGACUGGAGUGUGGAAUGUUAGAUCUCUUAUUCGGACAGGUGAACACGAUAAAGACGCUACAGGAGAAGAAGAAUCAGCUGAUAUCCGACAUGACGAACUAGGGGCGGAAAAGAGGGACACGAUUGCUGCACAGUUGCUAAUAUCGUACGAAGAAGAAUCGGAUGAUCUGAACAUCGGAGAUGAUAAACUGGGGCUGGAAAACAGGGACAGGAUUGCCACGCAGUUGCUAAUUCAAGCUGAAGAAGAAGCAGUUGACCCUGAUGACCGAGGGCUGGAAGAGAGAGAUACAAUUGCUGCACAAUUGCUGUUGUAAAAGGAGUCCCAGAUACCCCAUCACCACCCACACAUUAGAAAAUGCCCAGAAAGAUUAUACUCCUGAUACUGGUAUCUCUCUCCAGAAUGCAUUUAGUUACAUCAGCUUCCCUGUAUAAGUUUGAUAAAAUGGAACUGAACUGUGAUAUGUAAAACUACAAGUUUGAAGGACAUUUUUUGUGUUGCCACUAGGUCUGUGGUUUAAAAAAAUAUUCACAAAGACUGGAGUGUUCAGCUCCUUGGUGUCAAGCUCUGCAAAGUUGUGACAUAUUAUUUAGACACUGAACACUGUCAGUGCCAAACUUAAUAAGUAUUACUGGAGAGCAGAAAAGUGUGUGUGUCUAAAACUAAGUACCUGCAUAUCUAGUCUUUCAUCUGUUAGGACUGAAACAAAAAUUUUGUUUUUUGCUUUCAGUUACAGGAACUCAUUACAGCCUCAAUUUGCUGCUCUUAAUUUCUGAGCUCUUAUGUCGGUGUUAAAAAUGUAUUGCAGUUACUAAGGAGAAGUGUUUUAAACUUUUCGUUUGUAGUAAAAACUGCUCAAGACUGAUACUGUAGCUUUUUAUGAUUUUCAUAUUGAAAGAGGGAUAUACCUUAUUACAGUUCUUUUUUCUGUAAACACCUACGUUUGUGAGCAGUGAAGUGUGUCUAAAACUAAGUACGUGUGUACAUAGUUUUUCACUUGUUAGAAGUGAAAUGAAAAGUUUUUCUUUUACAUUGAGGUACAGGAACUCAUUACAAACUUGAUUUGUUGUCCUAAUUUCUGAGCAUUCCUCUCCCUUUGUCCCCUCCUCCUCCCAAAUUACUAAACAGAACUGUUUGUAAACUGUUCACAUGUGGAAGAACCUGCAAGACUGAUAAUGAAGCUUUAAAUGAUGGGAAAUGAAAUUGUCUCUGCUUCAGUUGCCACUUUUAUACAUUGUUAGGUCUGUGCUCUGGACAAACAUUUGCAAAGGCUGGAGUAUUUAGCUUGUUAGUGUAAAGCUCUGCAAAGUUGUAAAAUUAUGCCAUUUAGACUCUGACUUAAAGGUCUUACAGGAGAAGCAUGGAAGCACUAACCUGCUUGCGUGCAGUUACGUAUGUAUCCAGAACAAAGUACCUGUAUAUCUAGUUUUUUCUCUGUUAGAAGUGAAAUGAAAAUUUUAAUCUUUUUGCAUUGAGUUGAAGGAACUCAUUGCAGCCUUGACUAGCUGCUCUUAAUUUCAGAGCAGUGAUGUCAAUGUUAAAAAUGUUUUGAUAUAACUAAGCAGAAGUAUUUGAAAUCCUUUAUUUGUAGAAGAAGGUGUAAGAUGGAGAAUUAAGUUUUUUUAAUUAGAAAUAAAACAUUUUGUGUCUGUUACAUAUGAUUCAGAUUUAAAGAA
Schistocerca gregaria is the source of this 3425-nucleotide RNA transcript. It is a transcript of the gene named putative nuclease HARBI1, with no coding region annotated. The transcript is spliced from 7 exons. The record is from RefSeq and is a predicted model, not a curated record. NCBI's taxonomy places the organism in Eukaryota, Metazoa, Arthropoda, Insecta, Orthoptera, Acrididae.